Molecule: small RNA, 125 nt
Filed under: Marmota monax (woodchuck)
Lineage: Eukaryota; Metazoa; Chordata; Mammalia; Rodentia; Sciuridae
Source: RNAcentral
GCCGGGCGAGGUGGUGCACGCCUGUAAUCCCAGCAGCUCGGGAGGCUGAGGCAGGAGGAUCGUGAGUUCAAAGCCAGCCUCAGCAACAGCAAGGCGCUCAGCAACUCAGUGAGACCCUGUCUCUA